This 454-nucleotide long non-coding RNA is filed under the name Calidris pugnax (ruff). RNAcentral describes it as "lncRNA (ENSCPUG00000000113.1)". Lineage: Eukaryota; Metazoa; Chordata; Aves; Charadriiformes; Scolopacidae. The record is from RNAcentral.
AUCUCCAUGAAAGCUGCAGGUUAUAUUUCCAUUUAGAAUCAUAGGAUGGUUUUGGUUGGAAGAGACCUUAAAAGGUCAUCUAGUUCCAACCCCCCUGCCAUGGGUCGGGACACCUCCCACUAGACCAGGUUGCUCAAAUUAAGCAUUGCAAUUUAAACAUUCGUACAGGACAAGGAACAAUCACAGCAAAUUAUUAUUGCCUUAACAUUAAAUUUUUUCUUUUUUUUUUCCAGAUGCUCAGUCUUUCUUGAAACAAAACACCAGAAACCUCAUCAGGCUGUUGUUUCAAAGCAGCUGUUAGCUUCAGGACCUCAGCUAACUUCUGCCUGCCGAGCCCACAGCUGGCCUUGGAUGCACUGGCUGCCUCUGGGAGUUCAACUUGUCCCUCUUCAGCCUAAGCAUCAAGGAGGAGCUGGUAAGAUUUAAUUUUUUUUUCUUUUGGUCCUGAUUGGAA